RNAcentral lists this transfer RNA (57 nucleotides) under Anolis carolinensis (green anole). It matches the Rfam family "tRNA", at positions 8 to 63 of the family's 71-position model. Rfam says of the family: Transfer RNA (tRNA) molecules are approximately 80 nucleotides in length. Their secondary structure includes four short double-helical elements and three loops (D, anti-codon, and T loops). Further hydrogen bonds mediate the characteristic L-shaped molecular structure. tRNAs have two regions of fundamental functional importance: the anti-codon, which is responsible for specific mRNA codon recognition, and the 3' end, to which the tRNAs corresponding amino acid is attached (by aminoacyl-tRNA synthetases). tRNAs cope with the degeneracy of the genetic code in two manners: having more than one tRNA (with a specific anti-codon) for a particular amino acid; and 'wobble' base-pairing, i.e. permitting non-standard base-pairing at the 3rd anti-codon position. The record is from Rfam by way of RNAcentral. Lineage: Eukaryota; Metazoa; Chordata; Lepidosauria; Squamata; Anolidae.
UGGUUUAAUGGUUUGAACACUGGACUAGGACACCAGAGACCAGGGUUCAAAUCCCUG